UAAACUUGCCGCACUUUUGGUGCUCGCGCGCGCAUUCAAUGCGUGCGCAGUCAAACGGGAAACAGGGAGCGACGCCCCAGGGCCGAGCCAACCUGUGCUGCCCCCGCAACGGUAAGCGACCGCAACGCAAGUUGCAAGUCGUCCCGGACGCGUUUGUCCGCCAUCGCACUUCAGAUUUCGUCAUCGAAGAUCGCAUGCGCGGCACACGUGUCGACGCCACUGCGCGAAUGCGCGGGAAGGCGGGACGAUCUCGUCGCCAGCCCGGAUACCGGCCAAUGGUCACGCGCGUCG
This 291-nucleotide non-coding RNA is filed under the name Caballeronia choica. The record is from RNAcentral. Lineage: Bacteria; Pseudomonadati; Pseudomonadota; Betaproteobacteria; Burkholderiales; Burkholderiaceae.